CAGCAGCCACGGGAAUACGAAGGGGGCUAGCGUUGUUCGGAAUCACUGGGCGUAAAGCGCACGUAGGCGGACUUUUAAGUCAGGGGUGAAAUCCCAAGGCUCAACCUUGGAACUGCCUUUGAUACUGGAAGUCUUGAGUUCGGGGGAGGUGAGUGGAACUGCGAGUGUAGAGGUGAAAUUCGUAGAUAUUCGCAAGAACACCAGUGGCGAAGGCGGCUCACUGGCCCGAUACUGACGCUGAGGUGCGGAAGCGUGGGGAGCAAACAGGAUUAGAUACCCCAGUAGUCCCUGUCUCUUAUAC
Molecule: ribosomal RNA, 301 nt
Filed under: uncultured bacterium
Lineage: Bacteria
Description: partial 16S ribosomal RNA
Rfam family: Bacterial small subunit ribosomal RNA
Source: RNAcentral